RNAcentral lists this ribosomal RNA (468 nucleotides) under uncultured bacterium. RNAcentral's name for it is "partial 16S ribosomal RNA". It matches the Rfam family "Bacterial small subunit ribosomal RNA", at positions 28 to 507 of the family's 1533-position model. The record is from RNAcentral.
GACGAACGCUGGCGGCGUGCUUAACACAUGCAAGUCGAACGGAAAGGCCCUGCUUUUGUGGGGUGCUCGAGUGGCGAACGGGUGAGUAACACGUGAGUAACCUGCCCUUGACUUUGGGAUAACUUCAGGAAACUGGGGCUAAUACCGGAUAGGAGCUCCUGCUGCAUGGUGGGGGUUGGAAAGUUUCGGCGGUUGGGGAUGGACUCGCGGCUUAUCAGCUUGUUGGUGGGGUAGUGGCUUACCAAGGCUUUGACGGGUAGCCGGCCUGAGAGGGUGACCGGCCACAUUGGGACUGAGAUACGGCCCAGACUCCUACGGGAGGUAGCAGUGGGGAAUAAUGCACAAUGGGCGGAAGCCUGAUGCAGCAACGCCGCGUGCGGGAUGACGGCCUUCGGGUUGUAAACCGCUUUCGCCUGUGACGAAGCGUGAGUGACGGUAAUGGGUAAAGAAGCACCGGCUAACUACGUG